AUAUCUUACAGCCUUACAAGUUAUGUUUAUGCUUGUGUUCCUAAGAUAGAACUUAUUUCAGGGCUUCCCUGGUGGCGCAGUGGUUAAGAAUCCGCCUGCCAAUGCAGGGUACACGGGUUCGAGCCCUGGUCCAGGAAGAUCCCACAUGCCGUGGAGCAACUAAGCGCAUAAGGCGCAACUACUGAGCCUGCGUUCGAGAGCCCGUAAGCCACAACUACUGAAGCCCAUGCGCCUAGAACCCGUGCUCUGCAACAAGAGAAGCCACUGCAAUGAGAGGCCUGCGCACUGCAACGAAGAAUAACGCCCACUCGCUGCAACUAAAAAGCCUGCGUGCAGCAACGAAGAACCAACGCAGCCAAAAAUAAAUUUUUUUAAAAAAGGAUUGUGGGUUGGGAUCUCCACUCAUGCUGUGAUCUGUCCGUGGUACUUGGCAAAGCUCACUAGCAAUGUGAAAAGAUUUCCAGCCAGCUAUGAAAGCACUUUCGUUUUAAAGCUGCCUGAGAUGAUUGUACACAAGGGCAGGAGGCUUUUUGGUUUUAUAGGCCACGCUUUUCCGGAUGCGCUCUCCUUUGAUGUUAACUACAUGUGGCAAGAGUGGGCGCCGGACCGUCAGAACUGUUCCUUGAGGGGGUGCAGGUUCGAUCCCUGAUCAGGGAGCUAAGAUCCCACAUGCCAUGCGGUGCGGCCAAAUUAAAAAAUAAAAAAGUGCUU
Physeter macrocephalus (sperm whale) is the source of this 711-nucleotide long non-coding RNA. RefSeq lists it as uncharacterized. The transcript has 4 exons. Lineage: Eukaryota; Metazoa; Chordata; Mammalia; Artiodactyla; Physeteridae. The record is from RefSeq and is a predicted model, not a curated record.